Molecule: ribosomal RNA, 254 nt
Filed under: uncultured bacterium
Lineage: Bacteria
Description: partial 16S ribosomal RNA
Rfam family: Bacterial small subunit ribosomal RNA
Source: RNAcentral
UACGGGGGGAGCAAGCGUUGUUCGGAUUUACUGGGCGUAAAGGGCGCGUAGGCGGCCAGUGCAAGUCAGUUGUGAAAUCUCCGGGCUUAACUCGGAAAGGUCAAGUGAUACUGUCGGACUAGAGUACAGAAGGGGCAACUGGAAUUCUUGGUGUAGCGGUGAAAUGCGUAGAUAUCAAGAGGAACACCUGAGGUGAAGACGGGUUGCUGGGCUGACACUGACGCUGAGGCGCGAAAGCCAGGGGAGCAAACGGG